AAUAAGUGCAGUUUUAGCACUUAUUAUGUUCAACGUUUGACCGUUCGUCUUAUUUGAAAAAAAGAUUAUGAUUAGUAUUUUUAUUAUUAUUAGAUGAUAAAACAUGAAUAGUACUUUAUGUGUGACUAAUUUUUUAAAUAUUUUUCAUAAAUUUUUCAGAUAAGACGGAUGGUCAAAGCGCUAAACACGGAUAUUUAUGGCUGCACUUAUU
Molecule: non-coding RNA, 211 nt
Organism: Oryza nivara
Lineage: Eukaryota; Viridiplantae; Streptophyta; Magnoliopsida; Poales; Poaceae
Source: Rfam